This 1474-nucleotide ribosomal RNA is filed under the name uncultured Bordetella sp. RNAcentral describes it as "partial 16S-23S ribosomal RNA intergenic spacer". It matches the Rfam family "Bacterial small subunit ribosomal RNA". Lineage: Bacteria; Pseudomonadati; Pseudomonadota; Betaproteobacteria; Burkholderiales; Alcaligenaceae. The record is from RNAcentral.
AGUUCGAUUAUGGCUCAGAUUGAACGCUGGCGGGAUGUGCAUUUACACAUGCAAGUCGAACGGCAGCACGGACUUCCAGUCUGGUGGCGAGUGGCGAACAGGUGAGUAAUGUAUCGGAACGUGCCUAGUAGCGGGGAUAACUACGCGAAAGCUAGUUAAUGCCGCCCUUCGGGGAAAGCGGGGGACCUUCGGGCCUCGCACUUUAUUAGAGCGGCCGAUAUCGGAUUAGCUAGUUGGUGGGGUAACGGCUCACCAAGCGACGAUCCGUAGCUGGUUUGAAGAGGACGACCAGCCGCACUGGGACUGGUUGCGGCCCAGACUCCUACGGGAGGCAGCAGUGGGGAAUUUUGGACAAUGGAAACCUGAUCCAGCCAUCCCGCGUGUGCGAUGAGAGCCUUCUGGCCAUAAAGCACUUUUUGGCAGGAAAGAAACGGCACGGGAUAAUACCCCGUGCAACUGACGGUACCUGCAGAAUAAGCACCGGCUAACUACGUGCCAGCAGCCGCGGUAAUACGUAGGGUGCAAGCGUUAAUCGAAUUACUGGGCGUAAAGCGUGCGCAGGCGGUUCGGAAAGAAAGAUCUUGAAAUCCCAGGCUUAACUUUGGAACUGCAUUUUUAACUACCGAGCUAGAGUGUGUCAGAGGAGGUGGAAUUCCGCGUGUAGCAGUGAAAUGCGUAGAUAUGCGGAGGGAACACCGAUGGCGAAGGCAGCCUCCUGGGAUAACACUGACGCUCAUGCACGAAAGCGUGGGAGCAAACAGGAUUAGAUACCCUGGUAGUCCACGCCCUAAACGAUGUCAAUAGCUGUUGGGGCCUUCGGGCCUUGGUAGCGCAGCUAACGCGUGAGUUGACCGCCUGGGAAGUACGGUCGCAAGAUUAAAACUCAAAGGAAUUGACGGGGACCCGCACAAGCGGUGGAUGAUGUGGAUUAAUUCGAUGCAACGCGAAAAACCUUACCUACCCUUGACAUGUCUGGAAUCCCGAAGAGAUUUGAGGAGUGCUCGCAAGAGAACCGGAACACAGGUGCUGCAUGGCUGUCGUCAGCUCGUGUCGUGAGAUGUUGGGUUAAGUCCCGCAACGAGCGCAACCCUUGUCAUUAGUUGCUACGAAAGGGCACUCUAAUGAGACUGCCGGUGACAAACCGGAGGAAGGUGGAGAUGACGUCAAGUCCUCAUGGCCCUUAUGGGUAGGGCUUUACACGUCAUACAAUGGACGGGACAGAGGGUCGCCAACCCGCGAGGGAAGACCAAUCCAGAAACCCGAUCGUAGUGGAUCGCAGUCUGCAACUCGACUGCGUGAAGUCGGAAUCGCUAGUAAUCGCGGAUCAGCAUGUCGCGUUAUGAAUAUUCCCGGGUCUUGUACACACCGCCCGUCACACCAUGGGAGUGGGUUUUACCAAGUAGUUAGCCUAACCGUAAGGGAGGGCGAUUACCACGGUAGGAUUCAUGACUGGGGUGAAGUCGUAACAAGGUAG